Molecule: non-coding RNA, 214 nt
Organism: Pelobates cultripes (western spadefoot toad)
Lineage: Eukaryota; Metazoa; Chordata; Amphibia; Anura; Pelobatidae
Source: the annotation of a GenBank genome assembly
GGGGUGACUUGUGACAGAGGGAGGGGUGACUAGGGACAGAGUGAGGGAGGUGGUGAUUAGUGACAGAGGGAGGAAUGAGGUGACUAUCACUGUGUCACCCCCUUCCUCACUCUGUCACUAGGCACCCACUCCCUCCCUCACUCGGUCACUAGUCACCCCCUCUCUCACUCUGCCACUAGUCAUCCCUUCCCUCACUCUGUCACCAGUCAUCCCC